UGAUGCAAGCAUAUAAAAAAUAAAGCUUGACGCUCCUUAAGGGGUGAUGACGGGGAAUAGGAUAAGGCGAAAGCUACUACUUAUUNCUCUAUAAAGUGCCACAGAGACGAGCUAUGCAGAAAUGCAUAGG
Molecule: unclassified non-coding RNA, 130 nt
Filed under: Mycoplasma haemocanis
Lineage: Bacteria; Bacillati; Mycoplasmatota; Mollicutes; Mycoplasmatales; Mycoplasmataceae
Description: partial ribonuclease P RNA
Source: RNAcentral